Molecule: small nucleolar RNA, 73 nt
Organism: Rattus norvegicus (Norway rat)
Lineage: Eukaryota; Metazoa; Chordata; Mammalia; Rodentia; Muridae
Source: Ensembl
GUGCAGAGAUGUGUGCGUUUCUUCACCUGAAGUCACUGUAGAGUGAAACCGAGCUUUUUGACCCUAAGUCACA